UAAGAAGUAGUAUAAAGGAAGUACUUAGAUUUUUGAUUUCUAGGGUAUAGGUUCAAUUCCUAUCUUUUUAG
Molecule: transfer RNA, 71 nt
Filed under: Ptychadena mascareniensis (Masarene ridged frog)
Lineage: Eukaryota; Metazoa; Chordata; Amphibia; Anura; Ptychadenidae
Description: tRNA-Gln
Rfam family: tRNA
About the family: Transfer RNA (tRNA) molecules are approximately 80 nucleotides in length. Their secondary structure includes four short double-helical elements and three loops (D, anti-codon, and T loops).
Source: RNAcentral